This 655-nucleotide long non-coding RNA is filed under the name Athene cunicularia (burrowing owl). RNAcentral's name for it is "lncRNA (ENSACUG00000008300.1)". Lineage: Eukaryota; Metazoa; Chordata; Aves; Strigiformes; Strigidae. The record is from RNAcentral.
GAAAGAAGUAGGAUGCCUCCAAUGCUUCUGCCAUCUGCUCCUUUGAAAAGACGACUCAUCUCCUUGUCUCUUGGUCUGAAAAAUGCUGUGUACUUUUGCUGAUGUGUGAACAGACUCGCUGAAUGAAGGAUGAGGCCAAAAGACUGUGGACCCUUGCAUCCCUCACAGCAAACAAAAGGUCUGGAAGAUAUCCACACAUGGACUUCACCAGAAGUCAAGCAGCUGUGCAAGGAUGGACACCUACCAGAAGAGCAAUUCACCAGAAGAGUGCUUUUAGUCUUUUGGUUGCUUCAAGAUACCUGCAUUCUUUGUUCAAAGCUUCCCAAAAAAUGGAGGCUUUUGUUACUGAUUUGUUCUCCUCUACAUGUACUACCUAAUAUCUUAUGGUUUGAAUACACAGCAAAAACUUCCUUUCGUUUUAUUAUCCAUUAGAGGCAGGGACAAAAUCUGAUGUGCAUUUAGGAACAAAGUGCAAAAGUGUUUAAUCCAAAAUACCUUACAAGCUUUCUGUCAGUAGACUUUUUCCAGUCACCUUUGACCUGAUCCUGCACCUAUUGGAAGAGGGACAAAGUAAUACUAAACCCUAACACCUAAUUUUCACAGUCUGUCUCAUGAACUGGUGUUAAGAUAAUAAAAGGUAGAUAAGAAAAGAUCA